AUGCAGUCAUCUCGCCCUCCACCGCACGCCAAGCCGCCGAGGUCAGCCCCGGGCCACGCGCGCUCCCGCUCCCAGCUCGCCCAGGUGCGCCCGGAUCCCGCCCACGACUUCGAGUUCCGCUUCGACUUCCUGCCCGACGCCUUCCGCUUCGACAUGGACGGCGGCGGCGCCAAGCCGGCGGCACCCGCGCCCGCGAAGGAUAAGGAGGAGGUCCUUGUUGCGUUCGACAAGGUGAGGCUCAGCAUUGCGUCCAGCGAGGGCGAGGAGGAGGACGACGACGGGGCGCCGCCGAGGAGCUCCUUCUCCGGGGCCAGCCACCCGCCGGAGCCGGUCGACGAGAUGGACCCCGUGCUCGUGGCCGUGGACCACGGGCGGGGCGACAAGAAGGCGCCGCCUACGCCGGCAGCCAAGCCGGUCAUCGUGUGGGACGCGUCCCCGCCGGUGAGCGCCGCGGCGAGCCCGCACAGCAGCAUGGGCGACAGCUCCUCCGGCGGCGGGGCGGUCACGGCCACCUGCACCAGCAUGGCGCCCAGCUGCACCGUCACGAGCCGCAGCGCCAAGACCAGCGUCAGCAGCAGCGCGGCCAGCGACUGGAGCAACGGCACGGCCGGCGCCGGCGGGAGCGGCGGCGUGGGCGGGAAGCCCCACAAGGGGGGCGACCCUAGGUGGAAGGCGGUCCUGGCGGCGCGCGCGCGGGACGGGCCCCUCGGGAUGGGGGACUUCCGGCUGCUCCGCCGGCUCGGCUGCGGAGACAUCGGGACGGUGUACCUCUCCGAGCUCAGCAAGGGCGGCGGCGGCGCGGCGAGGGCGCCGUGGUUCGCCAUGAAGGUGAUGGACAAGGCGUCGCUGGAGAGCCGCCGGAAGCUGAGCCGCGCGGAGACGGAGCGUGAGAUCCUGCAGCUGCUGGACCACCCCUUCCUCCCCACCCUCUACGCCCACUUCGAGACCGACAAGUUCGCCUGCCUCGUCAUGGAGUUCUGCCCCGGCGGCGACCUCCACGCCCUCCGCCAGCGCCAGCCCGGCAAGCUCUUCCCCGAGCACGCCGCAAGGUUCUAUGCCGCCGAGGUGCUCCUUGCGCUGGAGUACCUGCACAUGCUCGGGGUGGUGUACCGGGACCUGAAGCCGGAGAACGUGCUCGUCAGGGACGACGGCCACGUCAUGCUCUCCGACUUCGACCUCUCCCUCCGCUGCGCCGCCUCGACGACGCUGGUCCGGCCGUCGCUGCCCUGCAGCGCCUCCGGCCCCAACGGCGGCGCCUGCAUCCAGCCCACGUGCUUCAUGCCCAAGCUCUUCGGCGGCCGGAGCAGCAAGAAGAGCGCCUCCGCGGCCUCCAGAUCGAAGAGCGGCGACCAGCAGCAGGGCGCCAUGCCGGAGCUCGUCGUGGAGCCGACCGGCGCGCGGUCGAUGUCGUUCGUGGGCACGCACGAGUACCUGGCGCCGGAGAUCAUCAAGGGGGAGGGCCACGGCAGCGCGGUGGACUGGUGGACGUUCGGCGUGUUCCUGCACGAGCUCAUGUACGGCAAGACGCCGUUCAAGGGGCAGACGAACCGGGCCACGCUGUUCAACGUCGUCGGCCAGCAGCUCCGGUUCCCGGAGGGCGGCCCGCCGACGAGCGGCGCCAGCAAGGACCUCAUCAGGGGCCUGCUGGCCAAGGAGCCCCAGGGCCGGCUCGGCGUGAAGAGGGGAGCGGCCGAGAUCAAGCAGCACCCCUUCUUCGAGGGUGUCAACUGGGCGCUCAUCCGGUGCAGCACGCCGCCCGGCGUGCCCAGGCCCGUGGAGCCCAUCGCCGUCGCAGCAAUGCCGGCGAAGUCGGCGUCCAUGGACAGGGUGGAGACGAAUUACAACAGCAGCAAGAGGACGCCAGCAGGGCCAGGGGCAGACCAUGUGGAGUCUGGAGGGAAGUUCCUCGACUUUGAGUUCUUUUAG
This 1926-nucleotide ribosomal RNA is filed under the name Triticum aestivum (bread wheat). RNAcentral describes it as "partial small subunit ribosomal RNA". The record is from RNAcentral. Lineage: Eukaryota; Viridiplantae; Streptophyta; Magnoliopsida; Poales; Poaceae.